AACGAACGCUGGCGGCAGGCCUAACACAUGCAAGUCGAACGCCCUCUUCGGAGGGAGUGGCAGACGGGUGAGUAACGCGUGGGAAUCUACCCAGUACUAAGGAAUAACAGUUGGAAACGACUGCUAAUACCUUAUACGCCCUUCGGGGGAAAGAUUUAUCGGUAUUGGAUGAGCCCGCGUUGGAUUAGCUAGUUGGUGGGGUAAAAGCCUACCAAGGCGACGAUCUAUAGCUGGUCUGAGAGGAUGAUCAGCCACACUGGAACUGAGACACGGUCCAGACUCCUACGGGAGGCAGCAGUGGGGAAUAUUGGACAAUGGGCGCAAGCCUGAUCCAGCCAUGCCGCGUGAGUGAUGAAGGCCCUAGGGUUGUAAAGCUCUUUCGCUAGUGAAGAUAAUGACGGUAACUAGUAAAGAAGCCCCCGGCUAAACUUCGUGCCAGCGCCGCGGUAA
RNAcentral lists this ribosomal RNA (450 nucleotides) under uncultured bacterium. Its description in RNAcentral is "bacterial SSU rRNA". It matches the Rfam family "Bacterial small subunit ribosomal RNA", at positions 29 to 523 of the family's 1533-position model. The record is from RNAcentral.